Molecule: ribosomal RNA, 253 nt
Filed under: uncultured bacterium
Lineage: Bacteria
Also listed under: 2 other names
Description: partial 16S ribosomal RNA
Rfam family: Bacterial small subunit ribosomal RNA
Source: RNAcentral
UACGGAGGGUGCAAACGUUGCUCGGAAUCAUUGGGCGUAAAGCGCACGUAGGCGGUCCAGCAAGUCGGGUGUGAAAGCCCUCGGCUUAACCGAGGAAGUGCAUUCGAAACUACUGGACUUGAAUACUGGAGAGGAUCGCGGAAUUCCCGGUGUAGAGGUGAAAUUCGUAGAUAUCGGGAGGAACACCAGUGGCGAAGGCGGCGAUCUGGACAGAUAUUGACGCUGAGGUGCGAAAGCGUGGGGAGCAAACAGG